RNAcentral lists this ribosomal RNA (459 nucleotides) under uncultured bacterium. RNAcentral describes it as "partial 16S ribosomal RNA". It matches the Rfam family "Bacterial small subunit ribosomal RNA", at positions 28 to 523 of the family's 1533-position model. The record is from RNAcentral.
GAUGAACGCUGGCGGCGUGCCUAAUACAUGCAAGUCGAGCGGUAAGGCUCCUUCGGGAGUACACGAGCGGCGGACGGGUGAGUAACGCGUAAGAAUGUACCCCAAACUGAGGGAUAAGCACCAGAAAUGGUGUCUAAUACCGCAUGUGCUCUUCGGAGUAAAGCUACGGCGGUUUGGGAACAGCUUGCGUAGGAUUAGCUAGUUGGUAGGGUAAUGGCCUACCAAGGCGACGAUCCUUAGCUGGUCUGAGAGGAUGAUCAGCCACACUGGGACUGAGACACGGCCCAGACUCCUACGGGAGGCAGCAGUAGGGAAUUUUCCACAAUGGGGGCAACCCUGAUGGAGCAACGCCGCGUGAUGGAUGAAGGCCUUCGGGUUGUAAACAUCUUUUCUCUGUGACGAAUAUGACGGUAGCAGAGGAAUAAGGAUCGGCUAACUACGUGCCAGCCGCCGCAGUAA